Molecule: long non-coding RNA, 1864 nt
Organism: Ailuropoda melanoleuca (giant panda)
Lineage: Eukaryota; Metazoa; Chordata; Mammalia; Carnivora; Ursidae
Exons: 3
Source: RefSeq, a predicted model, not a curated record
UGGAGGAGGAAGCACAAGCUUACAGGAGCACUGGUAUGUUCGAGACCAGGACAUGAAUGACCACGCCCCCAGUUCUUCCCCAUCUCACCCUGAGCCACCUGCAAAACCCCAUCAGCCUGUAGCCCUAAGGACACCUUGGCCAGCAGACUCAAAGAGGGGCACAGCAUCGAGCACGUGGGCCUUAGCCUGCAGAGACUGGUCCUGGAUUUCACCCUGCUGACUGACACUAGGCUGGGCCACACGGGACUCAGGGAUCAACGCUCUUCUCCUGAGACGUCACACAGAACAAGGCCCAGAAAUCACAGUUUCCGAGAUUGAGUCCCGGGGGGCAGGCGUGGAUCCAAGACCCAGCAGCCAGAGGAAUUGCCAGGCACCCCACAGCCUGUUGGAGCCCACACCCCAGAUGGAGCAAAGUGACUGAUCUCAGUGCCUGCUCUUCUUGUCUGCCAGGCCUGUGACAGGGCCGCCUCCUGCACAGCUCCCCCAGGGCCCUGCUCAAAUGACCAGAGCUCAGCCCACAGAGGGAGGGGCACCUGGAAACUCCGGGGAGACUGGGGGCUGGCCACAGGAAGGGAGGAGGUCCCCACGGCUGCUUCAGGCAGGAGACAGAGGACCACAAAAUGUCAUCUGCUGAAACCCCCCCCCCAGCCUGAAGUUGCGGUGAGCUCUGCUCACUGGAAGGACAGACAAGACUGAAUGAACCAUCAUAAAGAUGCCGCAGGGCACCCCAGGAGGUGGGACUAGAUUUUCUAAGAGCAAGUUUCUAAGAGCCACUUCUAUUUCUAGCAGAGGAGACAGUGAGUCUCCCUGAGAAAAAGCUCCUGAGCGGUCCCUUCCAGGAAGUAGAUGAAAGGCAAGUCAGCAAGCACUCCCCUCUGGAUGGUGAGCCAGGACUCUGACCAUCCUUCCCAGAGGGACUGGGAAGGAGUGGACAAACUGUGUCAGGGUCUAGAAGCCUUCCAAAGAAAGGGCUCUCGAUGCCUUUACAGAUUCUAAAAUAUUGAAGCAUCUCUAAAGCGCCUCUAAUGCCGAAUGUCUGACUCCUCCGGGGGGGGAAGGCUGGAUGUCAUCAAUCACAGCCAUGCAGAACGGCAAGACAUCUGUGAGCCUCAACACGGGGGCUGGAACGCUGGGAGCCCAGACCCUAGAGGAGAUGACAGUCUCCACUUCAAGGCCAAGCAGAGAGCCAGGAGCAGCCUCGGGGAGGGAUGAGUCCUACGAAAGAAUGGAGACGAGAGACAUGGACUUGCCAUGAUGAAAUGGGGCUCAGGAUGACAUCUUACAAAAUAUAAAAGGUGCAGUGGCCUUAUACGGACCCCAGGCUGCUGAGGUGGGAUACAUCACAUGGGUCAGGUCAGAGGGCCUUAGCGAUCAGAGCAUGAUCUUUUCCUAGUACAAAGAAGCAGGUCCAGGAGCUGAAGUGGCUGGCCAAGGUCACUGCCCAGCUGGUACAGAGCUGGAAAUGCAUCCUGAGCCUGGCUCUUCCCAACACCCUCUCUUCCCUGCAGCCUUUCCACCUCCAUUGCCUUGCCAGAACCUCGCAGAAGUCUGAGAAAACAAAUCCAUGAAGUUCUUUCUUCUGUAAACAAACGAUUUUUUUCGUGUUUUUGUCACAGAGACCCAUUGUGUUACAGAAACCCUAAAGUGCCCUCUGCUGGAGACACCGAGGAAUCUUGUCACGUGUGGAUUCUUCUUCCCCAGAGUUUCAGCAACACCAGUCACUUACACCUUGAUAUUUGCUGAUUUUCUUGGCGUGUGCGACUGUCAUCACUUUACAUGUUUGCUAAAAUAAUUCAAAGUUCAGACAGUAUUUCCGCCACUCAAAACCCCAAAUCUCUAGUUGGAGCACUCUGUCACCAUGCAA